UUGUAGCUCAGUAGGAUAGAGCGCUUCCCUCCUAAGGAAGAGGUCGGGGGUUCGAUUCCCUUCAA
This 65-nucleotide transfer RNA is filed under the name pig gut metagenome. It matches the Rfam family "tRNA", at positions 5 to 66 of the family's 71-position model. Rfam says of the family: Transfer RNA (tRNA) molecules are approximately 80 nucleotides in length. Their secondary structure includes four short double-helical elements and three loops (D, anti-codon, and T loops). Further hydrogen bonds mediate the characteristic L-shaped molecular structure. tRNAs have two regions of fundamental functional importance: the anti-codon, which is responsible for specific mRNA codon recognition, and the 3' end, to which the tRNAs corresponding amino acid is attached (by aminoacyl-tRNA synthetases). tRNAs cope with the degeneracy of the genetic code in two manners: having more than one tRNA (with a specific anti-codon) for a particular amino acid; and 'wobble' base-pairing, i.e. permitting non-standard base-pairing at the 3rd anti-codon position. The record is from RNAcentral.